GACGAACGCUGGCGGCGUGCUUAACACAUGCAAGUCGAACGGAAAGGCCUGCUUUCCCUUGUGGAUUGCGGGUACUCGAGUGGCGAACGGGUGAGUAACACGUGAGUGAUCUGCCCCCAACUUGGGUAUAAGCCUGGGAAACUGGGUCUAAUUCCCGAUAGGACUGCAGGGUGGUGCCUGUGGUGGAAAACGAUUUUCUAGUGGUUGGGGAUGAGCUCGCGGCCUAUCAGCUUGUUGGUGGGGUAAUGGCCUACCAAGGCGGCGACGGGUAGCCGGCCGGGGAGGGGGGACGGUCACAGUGGGACUGAGAUACGGCCCAGACGCCUACGGGAGGCAGCAGUGGGGAAGAUUGCACGAUGGGCGGAAGCCUGAUGCAGCGACGCCGCGUGGGGGAUGACGGCCGUCGGGUUGUAAACUCCUGGCGACCGCGAGGAAGCCACCUGGUUGGAAGGGUGGUGACGGUAGUGGUAGAAGAAGCACCGGCUAACUACGUG
This 494-nucleotide ribosomal RNA is filed under the name uncultured bacterium. RNAcentral's name for it is "partial 16S ribosomal RNA". It matches the Rfam family "Bacterial small subunit ribosomal RNA", at positions 28 to 507 of the family's 1533-position model. The record is from RNAcentral.